AUGCUUGGUCUUUUCAUUUUCAAAAUCACAGUCUUUGGUUCUGAUCCUACAGGCAACCAUGAAGCUCCUGUAACUUGGCUAAAUCCUGUUUUCUACAUAUGCAAGGGUUGUCUUGACAAACAGCUCUCAAGGCUUAAGAUGCCUCAAGGCUGUCUCUUCUAACAGAGACUAGGGGAAGUGGAGUGAGGGCCACAGAAAACUUUGUGAAGCAGCUACAGAAGAGGGCAGUGUUUGCAGUGCCUGGUGGCUCCAGAGGGAGUUUAACACAAAGUUAGGGCCUGAGCUUCCAAUGCGCAUCUCCACCUCGGUGAUGUUUACCUGAACAAUACAGUUCUGAGAAGACGCCCUCCUGUUUCCUGAGGAGCUGUCAGCAGCUGUAUCACUUUCCAACAGGUAACCUAAUUUGAGUAGUUGUCUUGCUCAGUAUCUGAAUACCCUCUUUCUCCUCCAGCUAGAAGCAAAAUUCUCUGACAAGGAUCAACAGUCUAGAUCCAACACUGUUUAUUGAACUUCUGCUAGUGCAGCAAUCCCUUCAAUUUCUUAGCUGUCAUGCAGACUCUCAGAAGGCAAGGAAAGGUACAUUUCCCUUUUCUUACCAGAUGUCACAGUGGUACCUCACCACUGGGGGUGGUACCCCAUUUUGGUGUCUGGGUGACACAGGCCACAGUGUGAGAUACUCUGUCCUCCACUGGCUCACGCUUCUCCUCCUUGGAUUCUUGUAAGAAAGAGCAGAAAAAACAAGUCUUGAGAUUUCCUUCCUCUAGGGGCAUCAGGCUGGCCAUAGCUACUGCAAGCACCCUUUGACAGGUCUGCUCUACCAUGAAGUCUUAACCCACCUACAGCUCAGGAGGCUCAGACUGGGUCUGGUAGAAAUAACUAUCCCCAUCCUGAACUUUUAAGCAGUCCUCUGCUUGGUCCCACAUGCCAGCAAAAAGCAAUAUUUGAGCUAAAUUUUAAUUCAAGUUCUCUUCAACCAUUUGUUUUUUCAAAGCUGUGAGGCAUCAAGCUUUCAUUGUCUCCAGCCAAGAGAGAAUGUGAAAUGGCCCCAACAGGUGCUGGGGAGAAGCAUUUCAGAAUCAGCUCAUAACUCAACAGACACAAAGUAAAUGUAUUCAAUAAAUAUUUUAUUUUGACACA
RNAcentral lists this long non-coding RNA (1137 nucleotides) under Anas platyrhynchos platyrhynchos (common mallard). Its description in RNAcentral is "lncRNA (ENSAPLG00000026624.1)". The record is from RNAcentral. Lineage: Eukaryota; Metazoa; Chordata; Aves; Anseriformes; Anatidae.